AAUAAGUUUCGAUGUAUCAGAUUUAAUUUGUAAUAAUUUUCAAUAUAUCGCCAGAUUCACUUGAUAAUAGGUUGCAAUAUAUGACAACAUAUCCGAUAUGUAUGUACAAAUAUGUAUAUAUAUCCAGCGAUGUGUAUAUAUAAAUAUGCAUAUAUAUUCGGCGACGUAUCUAUCAAGUGUCUACCUUAUCAAUUUUCGAUGGUAGUUUAUGUGCCUACCAUGAUUGUAACGGGUAACGGAAUAUGGGUUCGAUUCCAG
RNAcentral lists this non-coding RNA (258 nucleotides) under Loa loa (African eye worm). RNAcentral's name for it is "Eukaryotic small subunit ribosomal RNA". It matches the Rfam family "Eukaryotic small subunit ribosomal RNA", at positions 104 to 386 of the family's 1831-position model. The record is from Rfam by way of RNAcentral. Lineage: Eukaryota; Metazoa; Nematoda; Chromadorea; Rhabditida; Onchocercidae.